Molecule: ribosomal RNA, 484 nt
Filed under: uncultured bacterium
Lineage: Bacteria
Description: partial 16S ribosomal RNA
Rfam family: Bacterial small subunit ribosomal RNA
Source: RNAcentral
AUUGAACGCUGGCGGCAUGCUUUACACAUGCAAGUCGAACGGCAGCGCGGGCUUCGGCCUGGCGGCGAGUGGCGAACGGGUGAGUAAUGCAUCGGAACGUGCCCAGUAGUGGGGGAUAGCCCGGCGAAAGCCGGAUUAAUACCGCAUACGACCUGAGGGUGAAAGCGGGGGACCGAAAGGCCUCGCGCUAUUGGAGCGGCCGAUGUCGGAUUAGCUAGUUGGUGGGGUAAAGGCUUACCAAGGCGACGAUCCGUAGCUGGUCUGAGAGGACGACCAGCCACACUGGGACUGAGACACGGCCCAGACUCCUACGGGAGGCAGCAGUGGGGAAUUUUGGACAAUGGGGGCAACCCUGAUCCAGCCAUGCCGCGUGCGGGAAGAAGGCCUUCGGGUUGUAAACCGCUUUUGUUCGGGAAGAAAUCCUCUGGGCUAAUACCCCGGGGGGAUGACGGUACCGGAAGAAUAAGCACCGGCUAAUUACGUG